AUUGAACGCUGGCGGCAGGCCUAACACAUGCAAGUCGAGCGAGCGGCGGACGGGUGAGUAAUGUCUGGGAAACUGCCUGAUGGAGGGGGAUAACUACUGGAAACGGUAGCGAAUACCGCAUACCCUCAGAUGUGCCCAGGUGGGAUUAGCUAGUAGGUGGGGUAACGGCUCACCUAGGGGACGCUCCCUAGCUGGUCUGAGAGGAUGACCAGCCACACUGGAACUGGGAACCGGUCCAGACUCCUACGGAGGGCAGAGGGGGGGAAUUUUGCACAAUGGGGGCAAGCCGGAUGCAGCCAUGCCGGGGGGGUGAAGAAGCCCUUCGGUUUGUAAAGCAUUUUCGGCGGGGGGGCGUUACCGGCAGAGGAACCACCGGCUAACUCCUUGCCAGCAGCCGCGUUAAUU
RNAcentral lists this ribosomal RNA (405 nucleotides) under uncultured bacterium. Its description in RNAcentral is "partial 16S ribosomal RNA". It matches the Rfam family "Bacterial small subunit ribosomal RNA", at positions 28 to 525 of the family's 1533-position model. The record is from RNAcentral.